RNAcentral lists this ribosomal RNA (484 nucleotides) under uncultured bacterium. Its description in RNAcentral is "partial 16S ribosomal RNA". It matches the Rfam family "Bacterial small subunit ribosomal RNA", at positions 30 to 507 of the family's 1533-position model. The record is from RNAcentral.
AUUGAACGCUGGCGGCAUGCUUUACACAUGCAAGUCGAACGGCAGCGCGGGCUUCGGCCUGGCGGCGCGUGGCGAACGGGCGAGUAAUACACCGGAACGUGCCCAGUAGAGGGGGAUAGCACGGCGAAAGCCGGACUAAUACCGCAUACGACCUGAGGGUGAAAGCGGGGGAUCUUCGGUCCUCGCGCUUUUUGCGCGCCCGUUGUGAGAUUAGCUAGUUGGUGGGGUAAAGGCCUACCAAGGCGACGAUCUGUAGCUGAUCUGAGAGGACGACCGGCCACACUGGAACUGAGACACGGCCCAGACUCCUACGGGAGGCAGCAGUAGGGAAUUUUGGACAAUGGGCGAAAGCCUGAUCCAGCAAUGCCGCGUGUGUGAUGAAGGCCUUCGGGUUGUAAAGCACUUUUGGCAGGAACGAAAAAGAGUGUACCAAUCCAUCGAUUCGAUGACGGUACCCGCAGAAUAAGCCCCGGCUAACUACGUG